GUCCUCAAACACCUGGCCAUCCAGGGUGCACCUGGUGUCCUUGACUGGGGGGGGGGACACAGGAAGUACAGCUGAGAUACCAGAGUACACACAGCUCACACACUACCAACUGGAAAGAAAACCCUUGCCUGGAGGAGGAGAGCAUGAAAAAGCGUGCCACAACUUGCAUACGAGGGAAGCAGCCAAACGAACGCUCGGAGAAGAAAGAUGGAGGUCUUGUUGGGAUGCCUAAUGCCUUACGAACGCCCUGUGGUGUCUGUCUACAGACAAUGGAACAUCAAAGGUCAAAUCUUUAAGCUUUCUCCUCUUCUCUUUCUCAAAUCUUAGCAGCUGUCCAGCCAUAAAGACAAAAACUUUAAAAACAACAAGAAGAAGAAGAGUUGAGAAGCUCCGACAAAGUGAUGAAACUUACUGUCGUCCUCGCCCUGAGACCUGACCAGGAGUGCCGCUGCGCUGAGCAGCAGGGCUAGCCGCAAAUCCACAAAGCUGAACAUGUCUAGUUGUCACCAGACAUGUAGACUCUUUGAGGCAAGAAAGGAAGAAAAAAGUUGGGGAUAUUUUCUCUUUCUGCUACACUCCACUCAUACGCGGGUGUUUGGGGCAGGAUCUGUGCGUCUGUCCAAAGUCCUCCUGACCCCAGUAGAAAACUCCCUAC
Molecule: non-coding RNA, 655 nt
Organism: Nothobranchius furzeri (turquoise killifish)
Lineage: Eukaryota; Metazoa; Chordata; Actinopteri; Cyprinodontiformes; Nothobranchiidae
Source: RefSeq, a predicted model, not a curated record